Armillaria luteobubalina is the source of this 92-nucleotide non-coding RNA. The record is from the annotation of a GenBank genome assembly. NCBI's taxonomy places the organism in Eukaryota, Fungi, Basidiomycota, Agaricomycetes, Agaricales, Physalacriaceae.
GCAUCAAUGGGGUAGUGGUGAUCUGGGUCGUUGCCAUAUCCCAUACAUGCAUAUGUAUCGACCCGCCGGGGGUUCAAUUUCCCCUUGAUGCA